CAGGGAAUCUUGCACAAUGGGGGAAACCCUGAUGCAGCGACGCCGCGUGAACGAUGAAGCCCUUCGGGGUGUAAAGUUCUUUCGGCAGGGACGAUAAUGACGGUACCUGCAGAAGCAGCUGCGGCUAACUACGUGCCAGCAGCCGCGGUAAUACGUAGGCAGCAAGCGUUGUUCGGAAUUACUGGGCGUAAGGAGUGCGUAGGCGGUUGGCUAAGUUUGGUGUGAAAUCUCCCGGCUCAACUGGGAGGGUGCGCCGAAAACUGGCUGGCUAGAGUGCGGGAGAGGAUAGUGGAAUUCCUGAUGUAGCGGUGAAAUGCGUAGAUAUCAGGAGGAACACCUGAGGUGUAGACGGCUAUCUGGACCGUAACUGACGCUGAGGCACGAAAGCGUGGGGAGCAAACAG
Molecule: ribosomal RNA, 403 nt
Filed under: uncultured bacterium
Lineage: Bacteria
Description: bacterial SSU rRNA
Rfam family: Bacterial small subunit ribosomal RNA
Source: RNAcentral